Molecule: unclassified non-coding RNA, 253 nt
Filed under: uncultured Mortierella
Lineage: Eukaryota; Fungi; Mortierellomycota; Mortierellomycetes; Mortierellales; Mortierellaceae
Description: sequence contains ITS2
Source: RNAcentral
AACACCUCAAAGCUUUUGGAUUUUUUAAUCGAAAAGCUUUGGACUUGAGCAAUCCCAACACCAAUCUUUUUGAGAUCGGUGGCGGGUUGCUUGAAAUGCAGGUGCAGCUGGACAUUCUCCUGAGCUAAAAGCAUAUUCAUUUAGUCCCGUCAAACGGAUUAUUACUUUUGCUGCAGCUAACAUAAAGGGAGUUUGACCGUAUUGGCUGACUGAUGCAGGAUUUCACAAGGGUCGGCAACGAUUCUUGUUAAAC